Pseudophryne corroboree (corroboree frog) is the source of this 332-nucleotide long non-coding RNA. RefSeq lists it as uncharacterized. The transcript is spliced from 3 exons. Lineage: Eukaryota; Metazoa; Chordata; Amphibia; Anura; Myobatrachidae. The record is from RefSeq and is a predicted model, not a curated record.
UGACAGACUCGGGCCCUGAGUGAAGGAGAGACUGGAGGGGAGGGGCUGCUACCACACUGCCUGCACGGAUCUCAGAGGUGACAGCAAAUACUCCAGGUGCAUUGGAACAAGAUGCAAGAUAGGACAGUAUGGCAUCACCAGGUGGACCCCAUGCCAGGACCAAGAUGACCCCAAUUGUCUUUCUGAUUACCUCCACACUGCUGUGUGCUCCAUGCCAAGUAUUUGGUGAUCAGACACAAGGUGCUGUGUUUCUUCAUGAAUUCCCUCUUAUAAGAAGAGAAAGUCACCAGGAUGAUCUUCUAGCCGAUCAAAUGAACAAUUACAAGGUUGAA